This is a long non-coding RNA of Hydractinia symbiolongicarpus, 572 nucleotides long. RefSeq lists it as uncharacterized. The transcript is spliced from 2 exons. The record is from RefSeq and is a predicted model, not a curated record. Lineage: Eukaryota; Metazoa; Cnidaria; Hydrozoa; Anthoathecata; Hydractiniidae.
GAAAACAAUUACAAAGAACAUUUGUUUGUUAUCUCUUGACUUUUGGAAAACAUACGAUGAAGUUUCUAUUUUCUUUACGUUACAAUUAUUAAGAAGUUUUUAUGAUUAGAAAUAACAGUUGAAAACGCCGCUUUAAGGUCGACUCGUGUACAUUAAUCUUUGCGCAGAUUAGGCGCAGUUAUACUUUUGUUGCAAGCAAAAAGCAAACCCAUAACAUCAAAUACACGUCAACAAACUUCAUCAAUGGGAAAAGAGUAAACAGCGUCACAUUUUUCACCUCGACCGGAAAGAAAUUCAAGUUAAAGUGAGAAAGACUUCAAUCAACGUUAAAGUAAUAUCUACCGUGUUACGUUGAAACAUUUCAAAGAUGCUUUCGGAGACUUCGAUCCUGGAUGCAGCAAUCAGUAACAAGAGAAAAAUAAUAAUGGAAACAAAAAAAGAAGAAAGUAAAGCAAAAAAAUAUAUGGUAUCUACAAUAAAUUUAUUAACAUAAUUAUAUUAGAACUUAUGUGUAGAUUUAUUGUAAGUAAGUUAUAGUUUUCACAUCAUAGAAAAGCUAUAUAUGACAACGA